This 440-nucleotide ribosomal RNA is filed under the name uncultured bacterium. RNAcentral describes it as "partial 16S ribosomal RNA". It matches the Rfam family "Bacterial small subunit ribosomal RNA", at positions 338 to 795 of the family's 1533-position model. The record is from RNAcentral.
CCUACGGGAGGCAGCAGUGGGGAAUAUUGCACAAUGGGGGAAACCCUGAUGCAGCGACGCCGCGUGAGUGAAGAAGUAUUUCGGUACGUAAAGCUCUAUCAGCAGGGAAGAAAAUGACGGUACCUGACUAAGAAGCCCCGGCUAACUACGUGCCAGCAGCCGCGGUAAUACGUAGGGGGCAAGCGUUAUCCGGAUUUACUGGGUGUAAAGGGAGCGUAGACGGCAGCGCAAGUCUGGAGUGAAAUCCCAUGGCUUAACCAUGGAACUGCUUUGGAAACUGUGCAGCUAGAGUGCAGGAGAGGUAAGCGGAAUUCCUAGUGUAGCGGUGAAAUGCGUAGAUAUUAGGAGGAACACCAGUGGCGAAGGCGGCUUACUGGACUGUAAUUGACGUUGAGGCUCGAAAGCGUGGGGAGCAAACAGGAUUAGAUACCCCAGUAGUC